AGCGAACGCUGGCGGCAGGCUUAACACAUGCAAGUCGAGCGGGCACUUUCGGGUGUCAGCGGUGGACGGGUGAGUAACGCGUGGGAACGUGCCCUCUGGUUCGGAAUAACUCAGGGAAACUUGAGCUAAUACCGGAUACGCCCUUUUGGGGAAAGGCUUGCUGCCGGAGGAUCGGCCCGCGUCUGAUUAGCUAGUUGGUGAGGUAACGGCUCACCAAGGCGACGAUCAGUAGCUGGUCUGAGAGGAUGAUCAGCCACACUGGGACUGAGACACGGCCCAGACUCCUACGGGAGGCAGCAGUGGGGAAUAUUGGACAAUGGGCGCAAGCCUGAUCCAGCCAUGCCGCGUGAGUGAUGAAGGCCUUAGGGUUGUAAAGCUCUUUUAUCCGGGACGAUAAUGACGGUACCGGAGGAAUAAGCCCCGGCUAACUUCGUG
Molecule: ribosomal RNA, 435 nt
Filed under: uncultured bacterium
Lineage: Bacteria
Description: partial 16S ribosomal RNA
Rfam family: Bacterial small subunit ribosomal RNA
Source: RNAcentral